GUAUCAUCAACAGUUACAGCGAAUAUCACAUACACAGACAAAGAACAAAUUUAUGGUGUAUUUAUUUACAGUGAAACAAUUUUCAAUGAACAGAAAAUGCAGAUUACGAAUGCAGUAUGCCUGGGUGAAAUCGACAAAACAGAAACACGAUAAUUAUAACUGUAUUUUUAUCUAACACUGAUAUCGAGACAAUAUUGCUUGUACUGUGUCCAGAGCUAUCGACAACUCUGCCACCUAGACUGAACCAAAAAUUAAACCUCGAGUGGCUUUAUCCAGUCAAUUAAAUCUUAGGAUCGUUUUUCAUAUAUUGAAUAUGAGCGUUACCAAUCCUGUAUAAGUCCAACUAAGAUGAUCAGACUACUAAUAUACCAAUGUAUUUUCAUGUCAAUAUUAUUCUUAGACUUUUGAA
Mytilus trossulus (common blue mussel) is the source of this 409-nucleotide long non-coding RNA. RefSeq lists it as uncharacterized. The transcript has 3 exons. NCBI's taxonomy places the organism in Eukaryota, Metazoa, Mollusca, Bivalvia, Mytilida, Mytilidae. The record is from RefSeq and is a predicted model, not a curated record.